Molecule: ribosomal RNA, 326 nt
Filed under: uncultured Bacteroidota bacterium
Lineage: Bacteria; Pseudomonadati; Bacteroidota
Description: bacterial SSU rRNA
Rfam family: Bacterial small subunit ribosomal RNA
Source: RNAcentral
GAUUAACGCUAGCGGCAGGCCUAAUACAUGCAAGUCGAACGGCAGCGGGUCCAGCAAUGGAUGCCGGCGAGUGGCGCACGGGUGCGUAACACGUAUGCAAUCUACCUUUAACUGGGGGAUAGCCCCGAGAAAUCGGGAUUAAUACCCCAUAACAUUAUGGUGAGGCAUCUCACUAUAAUUAAAGCUCCGGCGGUUUUAGAUGAGCAUGCGCGACAUUAGUUAGUUGGUGAGGUAACGGCUUACCAAGACCGCGAUGUCUAGGGGUUCUGAGAGGAUUCACCCCCACACUGGUACUGAGACACGGACCAGACUCCUACGGGAGGCAG